UACAGAGGGUGCGAACGUUGCUCGGAAUUACUGGGCGUAAAGCGCGUGUAGGCGGACAUGUAAGUCAGGUGUGAAAUCCCUGGGCUCAACCCAGGAACUGCAUCUGAAACUGCGUAUCUUGAGUGUCGGAGAGGGAAGCGGAAUUCCUGGUGUAGAGGUGAAAUUCGUAGAUAUCAGGAGGAACACCGGUGGCGAAGGCGGCUUCCUGGACGAUUACUGACGCUGAGACGCGAAAGCGUGGGGAGCAAACAGG
RNAcentral lists this ribosomal RNA (253 nucleotides) under uncultured bacterium. RNAcentral describes it as "partial 16S ribosomal RNA". It matches the Rfam family "Bacterial small subunit ribosomal RNA", at positions 524 to 776 of the family's 1533-position model. The record is from RNAcentral.